CAGUCUGGGCUUACACUAGAGAUCAGUCUUUGCAUGUGGACAUUCUGCAUGGCCCUGGUGCCAUGCUAGCCUGGCUGUGGGGAACAUCAUGGCCAAGGCCACUACAGUAACAGUCUUGGUUUAUUUCAACUUUGUGAGUCAACCGGACUUAAUUAUCUUUCCAUGACGUCUUUUUGGAGAGAAUGUAAAAAAAAAGCAGCCAUGGCACUGUUUCAUCAGAGCGAGGAUGCAGAAGAGUCAUGCUGCACUGUACAAAUGGAAGCGCAUUGGAACUUCAGGAAUUUAGCGCUUAACAAGCACUUUUGGGAAAUUACCACUGAAAGUCUUUAGGGGGAUUCCACAGAUUAGAUCAUCUUUUAUUAUCAAGCAAGAGCAUUCUCCAUUGUGAAGUGGCCAUUUGCAACAAAAUCACACAGGAAAAGUCUUGGGGGUUCUGCUGGGCCCCCUGUCUGUUCAGGGACCCUAGAAUCACCCUAACCCCCAUUACGGCACACCUGCAUCCCCCUGCUGUCACGUCGAUACAUGAGAUUGUUAAUGUGAAGUGAUCGUUAAUGAAGACUGAGAGGACUACAGCUAGCAAACACAACAGAUUAAUAAUUAAUACUAAUGAGCAUAAUAGAAUAUCUACGCCCGGAGCUCGAGACUCCAACUCUUCAGAAACAACUGGUGCAAAUCCAUAUGUGGAGGCUAACACACCUGAUGCAGCUGCAGCAGUAGCAGCUACAGUAUGACCAAACACAAAUGAGAGAAGUCCCGAAAAUAUUUUGAAAAGAUAUAAAGUUUGGAUUUACCUUUAAGGACACAGUGGGCAAGUUCUGAAAUUUUCAAAGUAAUUGAUACGUUUUUCAGAGAAAAUAAUAUACCCUAUGCAAAAUGUGUUGUGUUGGUCACUCAUGAUGAUGCAAGAAGAUGGUCUGAAAAGUGGACUGAUAACACUUAGCCCCACAUGCACUGUGGACUCACUGAAUGUUACACAGUGAGUCUCUCUUUGCCGAAGAAAUGAGUGCAGAAUUUGCAGAUUUAAUUUUACAGAUAUUCUGGAUUCUGUUGUGAAUGCUAUUCAUUUUAUUAAGAGGAGUGCUUUGCAAACAUAUCUUUUUGCUUCUCAAUGUGUGUUGCUGCAGAAGAACACAACACGCUACUUUAUCAUUUAGAAGUCCGUUGGCUUUUUUGUGGAUCUGUAUUGUUUUGCGUGUUUGUGUUUCACACAGCUCUUCGUGAGUUUCUACUUCAUCGACGUGCACAGGGUAGAUCUGGCUCACUAAACUGGCAUAUCUAGACAUAUUCUCUGAGCUGAACGGACUCAACAGUUCUGUGCUGGGCCGUAAUACACAUGCCAUUCAGCUCUACGACCAGAUGGAUGGUUUCUAAAGAAAUAAAAAGAUGGAGAGAGCUGGUCAAGGAGGGAUUUUUUUCCAUGUUUCCAUCAGUGUAUGACUAGGGUUAUUCUGCUGUGCUUUCGCAUUUAAUUCUAGCGCACUUGUAGGCACCCGAGAGGCAAUUUGGAAAGUAUUUUUUUGAAAGUCAUGGCUUAGGGACAAGACAUGGAUACAGUUUCCUUUCAAAGACAUCAGAUGGCUAAAACAGUGACAGAGGAGGUUCGACUUAAGUACUGAUAUGAGUCAUGACCUUUUAUUCAACUCUGGAUCUCUUGCUAGAAGCACUGUACUUCCCUAGCAGGCAGCAAAGGCCACGAGGAGCCUUUUGUGACAGAAUAUCUUCACAAUGUGCAUUUUCCUACUUCACCUACCUGAAAAUUAAAACCGUUUAAGACUGCAGCCUGAGGCUUAUAUGAUAUUGUGCCAAACACCUCCAUCUCCCCCAGAAUAGACAGGCUUUGGGGAACUCACAAGGAUCAGUCAUCUCACUGAAGGAGUAUCUAAAGUUCAGCUAAACGUUUACUUUUCCAUCUUACAGUAAAUUUAAAAUGUACUGUAUGACUCAGCAAAAUCCAUUAAAAUAAUUGUGAUUGAAAGAAUUGUAACUGUUAAAUUAUGAUUUUGAUUGCAACACAGUAUGAAAAAUAUUUGUUAUGAUGCUUAUAUCUCCGUUAUAGUAAUGAAAAUUGAUGUACAAAUAAUGAUGUACAAUAACAUGCACAUAGUACUACUGUAUUAACAUAUUAUUAUCAUAAUGUGCUACUAUAUGCAUAUCAGAGGCCAGGCUUAAAAUUCAGCACUCAGUUUUAGACAAUUUGUAACGGGUCCUUGCUCCAUCUCUCUAUUGCCUAAUGAAUCUUUGGCCUGAAAAACUAUGAAGACCCCUGCCUUUUAUAUCCCAAAAUCCUGUGUGCAAUUCAGUGGUUAGUUGAAAAAAUAUAAAUGGCAUCCCUAGUGUCCAUUUUUUUUUUUUUUUUUUAACUUAACAGUAUGACUCCCAUUCUACAACAUAAUCACACAGGAAAUUGACAUGUUGUUUUCAAAAGUUCAUGUACCCUGAAAUUAAGCCCAUUCAGCUGAAUUACUGACUAGGGACAUGCAUGGAUAGCUGACAAUCCGUUAACCGCAUGACAUGGCACUAUUUGAAUAUCAAAAUCACUAUUCUGUUAUUCUACACGUGCAAUACAGGUCUGCAUCACGACAAGCUCGACGAGUCCCAAAAACUGUCAGGUUUUUCGGCCGAGUUUGGGUCAGGUUUUCAAGUAUAGGGCGAAUAAGUGGCUGUUCAAACAUGCUUUUGUGUGCAUCUGCACAGUUUUUUAAAUUUAUUUUAAUUAUUUUAUUUAUAGAUCAAUGAUACUGACUGAUAAGCUGAAUGGACGUCUUUGACUGUUGCACUGAAUCUCACUUUUUCCUUUCAGCACCUCUUACAGGAUCGGCUCAUUUUUAGACACCGGGUAAUGUUAAGAAGAGUAGCCUACUUUAAGUGACUGUUACACCAAUGAUUCCAUUUCGUUUUUCACUUGUUUCAGCACUUGAUAAAUGGUAAGAAAGUGUUUUUCCCCUUUUGCUCUGGUGUGCAUAUUUAGCACAAUAAUUAGACGAGUUCAAUGUCAUUUGAUUUUAAACCAUUCAAAAUUCAAAGCACCCCGAAGAGGCUAUUUAACCGCAGCAGUGUGAAACCAUACACGAUAAUAUUUGCGUUUGUAAGCUUAUUGAUCAUCGAUUAAUCAUUUUCUGCACAAAUGUGAUCAGUAAUCUUGCUAGCAGAGAGAGAAAUGUCUAUCAAUACAGUCAUCUGCCGCUAUAGCUUGCGUCCUACAUGUCACAACCUGUCAGCGACACUGAAUUAAAAACAGACAUGUAUCCUUGAUUUUCUUGCUAAUCAUGGACCAUUUCUCUAGUUGAAUAUUACGUUUACUGCAUAAACUGUGAUAGUGUGUUAAAGUACAACAUGACAACAAGCUAUGUUAAUCUGCUGGUCUCCCUGUAUCAUUCACGGCAACAAUCAUGUCAGUUUUAUUCAUUGAAUUUUGUUAAAGAAUACACAAUUCAAUAUGUUGGAAAUUUGUUAUGAAAUUGAAAUGUGAAAAUCUUAAAAAUGGGCUAACAUAUUUUUACGAGUGAACACAUUUACUUCUAGCACAACUGAUUCGAAAGUUGAAUUUUCGCUCUAAAAUAAAAAAAUUAUUUCACUGAUGGUUAAGUUUAGGUUUGGGAUUUGGGUUAUGGGAAGAGUUUAAAAAAUGCAUUCCUGUUGACUGUAUUAGAUAAUUUUUUACCAAAAAGUGCUACUCUGGACGUUUCACCUGGAAACUGGAGCUCACACAUGCCCACAGGUUCAACAACACUUCGAGAGUCACUGGGGCAGUGAUUCAAAAUAUGAUUCUAGAUCAUUUGACAUGAAUUUAUGGUGCCAUGCAGAGUACUUAUGAACACUGCGCAAAUUACGGGGGUCUAAGGGGUCCUCAGACCCCCUAAAUGCAA
Molecule: long non-coding RNA, 3866 nt
Organism: Xyrauchen texanus (razorback sucker)
Lineage: Eukaryota; Metazoa; Chordata; Actinopteri; Cypriniformes; Catostomidae
Exons: 3
Source: RefSeq, a predicted model, not a curated record